This is a long non-coding RNA of Oncorhynchus nerka (sockeye salmon), 1853 nucleotides long. RefSeq lists it as uncharacterized. The record is from RefSeq and is a predicted model, not a curated record. The transcript has 2 exons. NCBI's taxonomy places the organism in Eukaryota, Metazoa, Chordata, Actinopteri, Salmoniformes, Salmonidae.
CUAAGCUGGAGAUCACAGGCAGAAACACUCCUUUCUUUCCUGUCAAGUGGGAACCAGUCCUUGGCUGCCUUGUCUCCCCACCUCUUCCUGUUUCUGAGCUGGACUAAGGAGAUGUAAUAAAGCACCUGCUCCAGAUGUCACUAUAGGGGCAGCACUUCGUCUCCCUGCUGCUGUUGAUUUUCCAACGUGACGUCAGAUGUCUACUCUAGUCCAACUCCUGUGAACCAGACCUGGGUUCAAAUACUUUAGCGGAGCUUGAUUGAGUUUGCCUGGUGCAAUGGGAACCAAUAGAAUAGUCCCAAAAGUUUAGAACCCUGCCCAUCUGGCUCUCCAGGCAUGCUCAAACAAAUAUUUUGGGGAAAAAAAUGUAUUUGAAAGCAGGUUUGCUACGGUCCUGCGGUGGAGGAGGCCUUUAAAUGCUUGUGGAGCAGUGAGCGGAAGGCUGGAGCCUCUAAUGUAACAGUAGGCAGGGGAGGGAAACACCUGUUUACCAUUAGCACAGACAUUCCUCCUUUAUCUGCCUCCAUUUUGUGUGUGCUCCAAUGUAGGCUAGCUUUUAAGGCUCCAGUGAGUGGUCUGUUCGUUCAGUAGUAACUAUGCCUGGCUACAUCCUAUAGAAAUAUAACCCCAAGGCUAUAUGAGUUGUGAAACCUGAUCCAUUGUUUUUGUAGUGUGUACUUGGUCAUUCUGUCUUUGUUUUUUCCCAGAUCCCAGCUACUACAGACAGUUUGUGGUACAGCUCGGCUGAGGGUCAAGAGCUGGUCCAUGUUCUUCAGAGACUGAGUCAUUCUGCCAGGUCCCAUGCUGAUGUUGCUGUGGUUUCACUGGCAGUGGAGAUCCUGACAGGGAUUGGAUUCUAGAAUGUUGAUUCAUCAGCAACAAUGGAUUGGCUUCGAGAAGGACCAUAAUUCACAUCAGUGAUCAGCAACCUAAACCGUGUCUCCAUUAUGGUGCCUUGCUCUAUAGCUUUAUAAUAAAACUGGCAUCCAUUGUGGUUUUGCGUUCCAUUCUAAUAUCACUUUACAAUACUUUAGUUUUUUUUAAAGGAUGUACAAACAAAGGACACAUUUGCCCCCCAUGUAGCCUAAGGACCUGAAAACGAGUCAGUUCCAUAAACCACCAAGACAGAGCUGAAAUUAAGGUCCAUUUUUAUUGUUUAGCCAUGUCAUGACCAUGUCUCCAAUAAGCACAGCAGGCUACAAUAAUUAGGGAUUCUUCUCACCUCCUUGAACAGCUAUCAACUAAAAGACAUUAAAAAAAGAAACUGCUGCCCCCCCACAGACCCUUUGGAACAGUUGUGACACUACAAACAGUGCACACUUAAAGCAAGAAAAUAUUUGGACCAUUUCCAAUUCUUGGUUUUAUACAAAAGCUACACAAUGUUACACUUGAUCAGAAUACAAUUCAACUGAUUAUUAGUGUUCUACACCAUAUCAUUUUAAUUGGAGCAUUACCACUAUAACUUAUCACUACGAGAGACUUAAAAUGGAUACAAAUGAGUGCAGAAAAGACAGGAGAGUAUAAUAACAAGCUAUAUCAGUACCAUUACAGACUGAAGAAUCAUACAAAAUAAAAUGUAAAAAAAUACAGACCAGGGUUUUAAAUUCCAUCUUUAGAUCCACUCUUCAGCGUCAUUCUUUGAGUAACCCACUCCAGGAAUUCCUUUAACGCAGUUUUAACUCCCACAAAAGACCAGAACAAAGUUUUACUUCCACUCCACGUGUUCCCAUAGGAAACUCAGCUUUCAGUAGUGUGUCAGGCACUUUCUGAGAUACUAGCCCACUUUCAAAAACCUCCCAGCAACUUUCCAGCCAAAUCACAAUGCAGGUUCAUUCAGAUCAGACGAUACACCU